CUGUAAGGGAACCCAAAGGCAGUGUUUGAAUCAAGCAGGGAAAUGAUUUUUUUCUGAGUACUUACCCGUUGAUUUUCCAUCAGAAGAACACGAUGCUGGGCUCUUAUAGGAUGUGUAACACAAUUCCAAAUGGACUAAAGUCCAGGACCCCAGCCCAUGGGAUGGUGCCACCCACACCUAGGAUGGAUCUUCAGUCUUCAACUAGACCUAGCAACUCGCUUACAGACACGUGCAAAGACACUUCUACAAUAAUAUCGCCACCUGGGGGUCAAGUAUUCAAUACUUGGAUCUGAAGAUCUGAAAAAGGUGACCAAAAUCUCUGCCUCUGGAUAUUUUAUAUAAAUAAAACCAUUUGGUAUAUAGCCUUAAGGAUUUGUCCUGUUCUGAAUGACUCAUGCUGCAGAAAUUAGAAAGGAGGAUGGGCAACAGCUAGUGACUAGCUUCUUACUAAGAGUUGGGAACCUUCUGUAUGACUUGGCUUCAUUAUGAUUGACAACUAAUGCCUGUAUUUGGCCUGGAGUCUCAGAUUCAGCAUACAUUUCUCCAUCUGUAAUCUGGAGAUGUGUUUUAAAAGUAUCCUUUCAGCAUAAGGGACUGUCCGUGGUUGGUUAAGAGACUUGAAGUCCAUUAAGCUACCGCUGCAUCAUUGAAACCAAUGUGCCUGGCUUAGGAGCCCAUGUACUUCAACAUAUCUAACAGUUUCUGGUGGUUUUGGGAGCUUCAGAGGUCAGCCUUUGGGAAUAACUGAUAUUCAGAAGAAUCUCAGUUUUUAAUCUAGCUUACCACUCCUUCAUCAUUUUCUUUUCAAAACAUUUUAAGUGUAUGGGUGUUUUGCCUCCAUGUAAGUAUAUGCACCAUAUGUGUGACCAGUCAGAGGACAGAAGGGAGAAUUGGAUCCCCUGCAUCAAGAGCCAUAAAUGAUUGUGAAACAUUUUGUAGGUGCCAGGAAUUGAACCUAAGUCCUCUGGAAGAGCAAGAAGUAUUCAACAAGUGCUCUUAGAUACUGGGCCAUCUUUCAAAUCCCUCAUCAUUUUCUUAGAAGUUAAUAAA
Molecule: non-coding RNA, 1050 nt
Organism: Peromyscus maniculatus bairdii (prairie deer mouse)
Lineage: Eukaryota; Metazoa; Chordata; Mammalia; Rodentia; Cricetidae
Source: RefSeq, a predicted model, not a curated record